Molecule: ribosomal RNA, 873 nt
Filed under: Triticum aestivum (bread wheat)
Lineage: Eukaryota; Viridiplantae; Streptophyta; Magnoliopsida; Poales; Poaceae
Description: partial small subunit ribosomal RNA
Source: RNAcentral
AUGGAGCAUCUCCAGGACGGCCACUACGUGCGGCUGCGGAGCCGCGUGCACGGCACGUACCUGCACGCCGACGAGGACGGGCAUGGCGUCUCCCUCCACCACCGCCGGGAUUCCAUGAACGCGGCUUGGGCGGUGCACUUGUACCACCAGGGCAAUGCUUACGCCCUGGCCCAGCACAUGCUUCUCUACAGCGCCGCCUACGGCCGCUACCUCGUCGCCACGAACGCGCCGGCGCCGCUGGGCCACCGCGGGCGCCGCGUCGAGCAGCGCAACUACGAUGAUCAAGAGGAGGAGGCCAUCAGGUGGGAGCCCGUCGCCGUCGGGGCCGACUCCGGGAACGACGUCCUGCUCCGCAACGUCGCCGGCCGCCACCUCCGCAACGGCGCCUGGCGCUACCUCCGCGCCAACGGCAGGUACAUCCACACCGGCGCCAGCGUCGACGCCUUCGACAACUUCAGCACGAACAUGCACUGGGUGGUGGAGCCCAUCCCCGUCAGGGCCGCCAUGCCUCUCCUUCGACCUCCGACUAGGGUCAGGCUUCCCUUCACCCGAAGAGUCAUCACCGUGUUGCCGAUGCCGUCGCGGGUGAUCGUGUACGUGCGGGCGGGCGCCGACGGGAGCCGCAUCGCCCGCGGCGCCUUCGUGUUCGAGGGGAACUCCGUGUUCGACCUGAGGGAAACUCUGAUCCGCCGCCUGGAGGCCACCAUGGGCGUCUCCGACGUCGCCAUGUGCGUCGAAGCGGGUGCUUUCGGGCGGCCUACCCCACUCGUCGUCGACCUGCCCCGCAGCCGCCAGAACCUCCACAUCCUCGUCUUCGCGGUCGGGACGCCAGCCCACGCGGGGGUGCGGUACCCGGACGUCGAUGCAGUGUAG